This 318-nucleotide ribosomal RNA is filed under the name Triticum aestivum (bread wheat). RNAcentral describes it as "partial small subunit ribosomal RNA". Lineage: Eukaryota; Viridiplantae; Streptophyta; Magnoliopsida; Poales; Poaceae. The record is from RNAcentral.
AUGAUGACUCAAGCUCCUACCAAUCAAUUGGGUUGGGCGAUGAAGAGGAAGAUAUUAUCGUCGAGAAUGAAAGAGCCACCGUGCCAAAGGAUAACCGACAAGUCACGACAAACAAGUGGGAGAAGGCAAGGGCCUCCCAUGAGCCGCGGCUACAAAGAUGACCUCCACAUGGACGGGUAUUUUUUCAGCAAGGGAGAACAAGAAAGAGAAGAGGUACAAGCUCAUGUUGGAUGCACAAAAGGAGAAGAUGAAUUGGGACCGGAACAGGGCGGGAAGAAGCUGAAAAUUGAGAGGGAGAAGAUCGAGUUAAAGAAGUAA